GAAAUGGGCCGGCCUAUCGCCUCGCUUUAGGCGGGGAGGAAAGUCCAGACAACAGAGAGCGCCACGCUUCCCCAAAGGAAGGCUCCGCGCUACAACGCGGAGACAGAGAGUGCCGCAGAAACAAUACGGCCUCGCAUGGCGGGGUAAAGGUGAAACGGUGAGGUAAGAGCUCACCGCCACAGCGGUGACGCUGUGUGGCUUGGUAAACCUCGUGGGUUGCAAUGCCAAGUACGCCAGAGCUUGAGGGUGGCUCGCCCGAUUCUGGUGGGUAGGCAGCAAUAGAUAAAUGAUAGGCCUCCCUGUGUGUGGGGAGACAGAAUCUGGCUUAUAGGCUCAUUUCCUUU
This 344-nucleotide RNase P RNA is filed under the name Schleiferiaceae bacterium. RNAcentral describes it as "RNase P RNA component class A". It matches the Rfam family "Bacterial RNase P class A". From Rfam's summary of the family: Ribonuclease P (RNase P) is a ubiquitous endoribonuclease, found in archaea, bacteria and eukarya as well as chloroplasts and mitochondria. Its best characterised activity is the generation of mature 5'-ends of tRNAs by cleaving the 5'-leader elements of precursor-tRNAs. Cellular RNase Ps are ribonucleoproteins. Lineage: Bacteria; Pseudomonadati; Bacteroidota; Flavobacteriia; Flavobacteriales; Schleiferiaceae. The record is from RNAcentral.